Molecule: ribosomal RNA, 254 nt
Filed under: uncultured bacterium
Lineage: Bacteria
Description: partial 16S ribosomal RNA
Rfam family: Bacterial small subunit ribosomal RNA
Source: RNAcentral
CACGUAGGGGGCAAGCGUUGUCCGGAUUUAUUGGGCGUAAAGAGCUCGUAGGCGGUUGGGUAAGUCGGGUGUGAAAACUCCAGGCUCAACUUGGAGAUGCCACCCGAUACUGCUCUGACUUGAGUUCGGUAGGGGAGUGGGGAAUUCCUGGUGUAGCGGUGAAAUGCGCAGAUAUCAGGAGGAACACCGGUGGCGAAGGCGCCACUCUGGGCCGAAACUGACGCUGAGGAGCGAAAGCGUGGGUAGCAAACAGG